CAGCCGCCACGGUAAUACAGAGGGUGCGAGCGUUAAUCGGAUUUACUGGGCGUAAAGCGUGCGCAGGCGGUUAUAUAAGACAGAUGUGAAAUCCCCGGGCUCAACCUGGGAACUGCAUUUGUGACUGUAUAGCUAGAGUACGGCAGAGGGGGAUGGAAUUCCGCGUGUAGCAGUGAAAUGCGUAGAUAUGCGGAGGAACACCGAUGGCGAAGGCAAUCCCCUGGGCCUGUACUGACGCUCAUGCACGAAAGCGUGGGGAGCAAACAGGAUUAGAUACCCGAGUAGUCCCUGUCUCUUAUAC
RNAcentral lists this ribosomal RNA (301 nucleotides) under uncultured bacterium. RNAcentral describes it as "partial 16S ribosomal RNA". It matches the Rfam family "Bacterial small subunit ribosomal RNA", at positions 509 to 807 of the family's 1533-position model. The record is from RNAcentral.